AGUUGUUCUGUUCGUUACAGACUUCCUUGUCACGAAAACGACUUAAAAUAUGAACAUUUCGCUGAGCAUGCUUUGUUUGUACGCGUUCUUCUUUACCCAAGUAAUAACAGUUACAGCACAGUCCACAUACACAAGGAAGGCCUUGACUGGAAGUGACGUCAUACUUCCUUGUGACUAUGAUCAGACUGCUGAUGGGGACUGGAUUAUUGUCACCUGGACUAUGCGUAUCGGUGGAACUUUUCAAAACCUGUAUGUGAGGACAACAGGCAGCACAACCAAUGCUGUAGCUUCACCACCACCUCAGUUUGCUGGACGAAUGGCAAUAGAUGGAAUCUCAAACCUGAGACUGACAGGUGUCACCAUUGGGGAUGAAGAUGAGUACAGAUGUAUUGUCACAGCCCAAACCCUGAGUCCGGUAACAUUUGUUAAUCUCCAGGUUUUCCGUGAGUAGUACUAUUGGAUGACUUAAACAAUUUUCAUGACAAUUUCUUGUGUCCGUUUAGCAGCGAAAAAGCGAUCCACGAUAUAUUCCUACGGGUAAAUGAUACAUAUGAACACAGCAUUCAGCUCGAGACAGGAGGCUGGUGUAGAUUAGCCAAACCAAAAACUGCUAUGACGAAAACCUUUCUGUUCAGACGUAUUAAGUCACACAUUGCAAUACUACAUUAUAUCAUCAUCCACACCACAAAUGUUCCAGAAAACAUAUUGACCUUGACCUCCCCUCAGCGUAUAUGCCUCAUCUUGACGUAUAUCUUUACAUUUCAUUUACAGACAGUAGUAGUAUUUUCCUUUUGGAGUUGUAGCAGAAUUGAAAAAAGACAUUGAUAUUUAGAUGGUCUGUUGACUCUUUUCCCACCACAGAACAACCAACAGGUCCUAUUGUUCAAGUCCAGUUUGACCCCGUCACCUUCACCUGUACCAGUACAGGGGGACGGCCACCUGCCAGUCUUGGAUGGUCUGUCACAGAAAAUGGCACACCGGUGUCUGUAAAUCCCACAUACACAUCCUCUAAUAACUCCCAGGGAGUUGGAGACGCCACAUCAACAUUCAACUUUACUACAACAAAGUACGGAGUGACGUACAGGGUACAGUGUACAGCUUCAGGACCAGAUCCUAUCCAAUCCAGGACAUCAGCUGUAGUGAGCGUCACUACAGAGAAAGAUCCAAGUGCCAUUCCUACUACACCAAAGGGACAGACAGGUA
This is a long non-coding RNA of Branchiostoma floridae (Florida lancelet), 1203 nucleotides long. RefSeq lists it as uncharacterized. The transcript is spliced from 3 exons. NCBI's taxonomy places the organism in Eukaryota, Metazoa, Chordata, Leptocardii, Amphioxiformes, Branchiostomatidae. The record is from RefSeq and is a predicted model, not a curated record.